UACGUAGGGUGCGAGCGUUGUCCGGAAUUAUUGGGCGUAAAGGGCUCGUAGGCGGUUUGUCGCGUCGGGAGUGAAAACUCAGGGCCUAACCCUGAGCCUGCUUCCGAUACGGGCAGACUAGAGGUAUGCAGGGGAGAACGGAAUUCCUGGUGUAGCGGUGAAAUGCGCAGAUAUCAGGAGGAACACCAAUGGCGAAGGCAGCUCGCUGGGACGGUACUGACGCUGAGGCGCGAAAGCGUGGGGAGCAAACAGG
This 253-nucleotide ribosomal RNA is filed under the name uncultured bacterium. Its description in RNAcentral is "partial 16S ribosomal RNA". It matches the Rfam family "Bacterial small subunit ribosomal RNA", at positions 524 to 776 of the family's 1533-position model. The record is from RNAcentral.